RNAcentral lists this transfer RNA (77 nucleotides) under Methyloceanibacter caenitepidi. RNAcentral describes it as "tRNA-Arg (TCT) (tRNA-Arg-TCT-1-1)". It matches the Rfam family "tRNA". From Rfam's summary of the family: Transfer RNA (tRNA) molecules are approximately 80 nucleotides in length. RNAcentral also lists the same sequence under 2 other names. Lineage: Bacteria; Pseudomonadati; Pseudomonadota; Alphaproteobacteria; Hyphomicrobiales; Hyphomicrobiaceae. The record is from RNAcentral.
GGUCCCGUAGCUCAACCGGAUAGAGCACCUGCCUUCUAAGCAGGGGGUUGCAGGUUCGAGUCCUGCCGGGAUCACCA